CUGGGAGGCCUACAGCUCCACCAGGGAGGAAGAGGAGGAGGACACCAAAGAGGAGGUAGAGGUAGUUGCAUCAAAUUGGGUGACAGGCAGAUCCAAAGGUUAUCAUGAAGUUUCCAGUCCCUUUGGAAAACCACAGAUUGUCUUUUUUAUUGGAAAAGUCAAUCUCUAGGGAAGCCCAGAUCUGGAAGGUGAAUGUGCCGAAAAUGCCUACAAAUCAGAGUGUUUCUCCAUCCCAGAUAGAUGAAGUAAUUCAUUGUCUAGCCAAACUCAAGUACCAAUUCAACCUAUACCCAGAAACAUUUGCUUUGGCUAGCAGUCUUUUGGACAGGUUUUUAGCUACUGUAAAGGCCCACCCAAAAUACUUGAGUUGUAUUGCAAUUAGUUGCUUUUUCCUGGCUGCCAGGACUGUUGAAGAGGAUGAGAAAAUUCCGGUACUAAAGGUAUCGGCAAGAGGAAGUUUCUGUGGGUGUUCCUCUUCUGAGAUUUUGAGAAUGGAGAGAAUUAUUCCAGAUAAAUUGAAUUGGAAUCUUCACACAGCCACACCAAUGGAUUUUCUUCACAUUUUCCAUGCCAUUGCAGUGUCAACUAGACCUCAGUUACUUUUCAGUUUGCCCACGUUGAGCCCAUCUCAGCAUUUGGCCAGCCUCAUCAAACAGCUGCUUCACUGUAUGGCCUGCAGCCAACUUCUGCAGUUUAAAGGAUCCAUGCUUGCCCUGGCCAUGGUUAGCUUGGAAAUGGAGAAGCUCAUUCCUGAUUGGCUUCCUCUUACAAUUGAACUCCUUCAGAAAGCACAGAUGGAGAGCUCCCAGUUGAUCCACUGUUGAGAGCAGGUGGCACAUCACCUUUCUACUCCACAGUCUUCCCUGCCUCUAAAUUCCGUGUAUGCCUACCAUUCCCUCAAGCACACCCUGGUAACCUGUGACAAAGAAGUGUUCAGAUUACAUCCCUCCUCUGUCUCAGGCCCAGAUAUCUCCAAGGACAACAGCAAGCCAGAAGUGCCAGUCAGAGGUACAGCAGCCUUCUACCAUUCUCUCCCAACUGCUGGUGGGUGCAAGCACGCCUCUGCUGAACGCAAAGUGGAGGAAAUGGAAGCAGAUGACUUCUAUGAUGGGAUUAAACGACUCUAUAAUGAAGACAGUGCUGCAGAAAGUGUAGGUUCUGUGUUUGGCACUGAUUUAUCAAGGCAAGAGGGAUAUGCUUCCCCUUGUCACCUUUGCAGCCUGUUAUUGUUAUGUAGUUUCAACAUGUGUUACCUUCCAGUGCAAACAAAGAUUGCCUACUUUGGGAACAACCUGUAAAACUAGGAGAGGCUAUGGAGGAAUGUGUACUUUAUCAGGCUGAUUUGAAGUGAGCCAGAAAAAAACACACCCUCAUUUACUUACACAAUUAAUUAUAAUUUAGCAUUGUUUGAAAGCAAAAAAUAUUUACCAAAAUAUUUUUUGAAAGUAAAUUUUUUGUAGUAUGUCAAUUUAUGCUCUUUUGUGCUAAAAUGUAGUUUGUUCCAUUUCAAAAAUUGUUUGAAAAAUUCCAAAAUUAACAGCUGUAAGCCCUUUCCCCCAGCCUUGUGAUUUUUCUUUUUCUUUUGGUUUUUUAUGGAAUGCUUAAUGAAUUUUAUGCUCAUUGACCUAUGUUUUCUACCUUCCACUGGAUAGGUACUUCCCUCAUCCCCCCCAUAGCAAAAUUAGUGUGACAGCCAUGUUUAUUCCAUGAUUUAGAUUCCAUUUAGUCUGGAAAAUAUACUUUGGAAUUGUCCAGAUGAAUCAGAAGUGGUAAGAGAAAAAGUUCUCACAUUAUCACUUGAUUUUGUGUUUGUCUCAUUUUAGGUUUUAGAGUUUAAAAACAAAACAACCAUAUUUUAUCUUAAACUUUAAAAUAGCAUAUAACUAGAACACUUAUGAUUUCUUAAAAGCAUUUUUGACAUUUGUAUAAAGGGAUUUGUGACAAAAUUAAUAUAUCCAAGUGCUCACCAAAGAAAUGUAACAGAAUUAGAUUUUUGUAACUGAUCUGUUUCCACUCAUUUAUAAUCAGUAGGAGACUGUCUAGAUGUUGGGGCAGCUCUGUGAUUUGCAUAACAUGUAAUUCAGUACCCUCCUUUCUGUUAGGAUGUUAAGAUUUUUCUGAUAAAGAUUAUGCCCCAUCUCCCAACCUACCCAUGCUUCUCGUAAUGACUAUUGGAUCUUGGGCUCCCUUUGUAGUCUGAGGAAGGUAUUGUAGUCAGAGCCAUGCACUGAUGAUAAAAGCCUCUGGUAGCAAUAAAAAGUUGUCCUAA
Molecule: RNA transcript, 2269 nt
Organism: Octodon degus (degu)
Lineage: Eukaryota; Metazoa; Chordata; Mammalia; Rodentia; Octodontidae
Gene name: cyclin-I pseudogene
Exons: 1
Source: RefSeq, a predicted model, not a curated record